AUGGAAUCAAACCACAGGAUACCCAAGCAGUGCGUACAAAUUGUAGUGGUGCUUGUAGCUUAUCAUCAAUCUGCCAUUAUUAUUUGUAUUGAGAUGCCCAGGACAGAAUCCAGUUUGUAUCAACGCCUCAUUGCUUCUCCUCAUCUCCACUCUCUCUCGUCGGCUAGGGAUGGAGGGCAGUCAGCAUCCACCUCGAGGCAGAGGGGUGGGCAGAAGGACGGUCGGUGUUCAACUCUCUACGGUUCAAAACCAAGUCCAUCCAAGCCUCAAAGUAUAAAGAAGGCGCCUAGACACUCGAUGGGUGGUGUAAACCGUAGGGUGUCCAUUGGUGGAGCCAUGAUGCAAGCAUCCAAAACAGACAUAUUGUAUACGAAGAAUGUUCAUGCUGCCAAGAGAAGUGAAGACAUUGCCCAUUUGUCCCCUGGUGCUAUACACAGAGGACAACCUAUCAGGGAGUCCACUAAUGACCAGAUGGGUAUCUUGUCGCUCAUCUACAGCAAGUCGGGCUCCAGUGUGUUUGGGUCAGCGUCCACGGAGGAGCAGAUAACUGACGACAUUUACGCUGCCGGGCUCACUAUCCUCAUCACACAUGACCACAACCCACCCAACCGACUUGCCGCUAGCUCGGAUGGCGCCACUGAAUUAAUGACACUAAUGCAGAGGAUUGAAGUUACAAUGGUCGUGGAGCUUCUUGGAUUAAAAUUGCAAAGAGUAGUACUGGAAAGCUUCAUUUUCGGCACCUAUGACAUACAAAGUACUGCAAUAAAAUUGGAGGGCUGGGGAAGUGUUGGACUGGAGCUUCGCCCCCAUGCGGUAUGCUCUAUCCAAGUAUGUGCUCCUGUUUGCCGCAUCUACAUAUUGGAUGAAACCUGUGUGCUAAUUGCGAAUUAUGUGCAAGUGAGUAUUGAACGCUCUGUAUUUCCAGAGAAUAUUCCUAUGAGGGGAGUGAGUGGAGACAGAAAUGAGUGCACGUGGAGCAGCUGCUGCCUAUGA
Molecule: ribosomal RNA, 993 nt
Filed under: Triticum aestivum (bread wheat)
Lineage: Eukaryota; Viridiplantae; Streptophyta; Magnoliopsida; Poales; Poaceae
Description: partial small subunit ribosomal RNA
Source: RNAcentral